Molecule: ribosomal RNA, 141 nt
Filed under: Bacillus inaquosorum
Lineage: Bacteria; Bacillati; Bacillota; Bacilli; Caryophanales; Bacillaceae
Description: partial 16S ribosomal RNA
Rfam family: Bacterial small subunit ribosomal RNA
Source: RNAcentral
UUAUCGGAGAGUUUGAUCCUGGCUCAGGACGAACGCUGGCGGCGUGCCUAAUACAUGCAAGUCGAGCGGACAGAUGGGAGCUUGCUCCCUGAUGUUAGCGGCGGACGGGUGAGUAACACGUGGGUAACCUGCCAGUAAGAC